Molecule: ribosomal RNA, 445 nt
Filed under: uncultured bacterium
Lineage: Bacteria
Description: partial 16S ribosomal RNA
Rfam family: Bacterial small subunit ribosomal RNA
Source: RNAcentral
GUGAGGAAUAUUGGUCAAUGGACGGAAGUCUGAACCAGCCAAGUAGCGUGCAGGAUGACGGCCCUAUGGGUUGUAAACUGCUUUUAUGCGGGGGUAAAGUGAGUGACGUGUCAUUCAUUGCAAGUACCGCAAGAAUAAGGACCGGCUAAUUCCGUGCCAGCAGCCGCGGUAAUACGGAAGGUCCUGGUGUUAUCCGGAUUUAUUGGGUUUAAAGGGAGCGUAGGCCGUCAGGCAAGCGUGUUGUGAAAUGUCGUGGCUCAACCAUGGACUUGCAGCGCGAACUGCCCGACUUGAGUGCGCGGAAAGCAGGCGGAAUUUGUGGUGUAGCGGUGAAAUGCUUAGAUAUCACGAAGAACCCCGAUUGCGAAGGCAGCCUGCUGUAGCGCUACUGACGCUGAAGCUCGAAAGUGCGGGUAUCGAACAGGAUUAGAUACCCUUGUAGUCC